UCGGAUCGCAUGGGCCUGUCCCGCGACAAACCAUUCAAGUUUCUGCCCCAUCAGCUUUCGAUGGUAGUGUAUUGGACUACCAUGGCUUUUACGGGUAACGGAGGAUUAGGGUUCGAUUCCGGAGAGGGAGCCUGAGAAACGGCUACCACAUCCAAGGAAGGCAGCAGGCGCGUAAAUUACCCAAUCCUGACUCAGGGAGGUAGUGACAAGAAAUAACGGGCCGGGGUACGACCUCGGGACUGCAAUGAGACGAAUUUACACCCCUUAUCGAUCACCAAUUGGAGGGCAAGUCUGGUGCCAGCAGCCGCGGUAAUUCCAGCUCCAAUAGCGUAUAUUAAAGUUGUUGCAGUUAAAAAGCUCGUAGUUGGAUUUCUGGCAGGGGGCAACAGCCCGCUUGCAGCGUGUGCUUGCCGUCCCCUACCAUCCUUCUGUUAACGCGCCAGGACAUUCACUUGUCGGGCGCGGGCUCAGAUAAUUUACCUUGAGAAAAUUAGAGUGUUUCAGGCAGGCUGACGCCGGGAUACAUUAGCAUGGAAUAAUGGAAUAGGACUUUCGCCUCUUCUGUUGGUCUGAGGGGUGAUCGUAAUGAUUAAUAGGGAUAGUUGGGGGCAUUAGUACUUAACUGUCAGAGGUGAAAUUCUCGGAUUUGUUAAAGACUAACUUAUGCGAAAGCAUUUGCCAAGGAUGUUUUCAUUAAUCAAGAACGAAAGUUAGGGGAUCAAAGACGAUCAGAUACCGUCCUAGUCUUAACCAUAAACUAUGCCGACUCGGGAUCGGGGGCGAGAGUUAUCCGCCUUCGGCACCGUAUGAGAAAUCAAAGUCUUUGGGUUCUGGGGGGGAGUAUGGUCGCAAGGCUGAAACUUAAAGGAAUUGACG
Molecule: ribosomal RNA, 876 nt
Filed under: Salpingella sp.
Lineage: Eukaryota; Ciliophora; Spirotrichea; Tintinnida; Tintinnidae
Description: SSU rRNA
Rfam family: Eukaryotic small subunit ribosomal RNA
Source: RNAcentral